GCAGGGGGAGCAAGAUGGAGUCACAGAAGCAGGUCCUCAUGUCCCUGCUGCUCUGGGUGUCUGGUGCCUGUGCAGAUAUCAUUAUGACCCAGUCUCCAUCCUCCCUGGCUGUGACAGCAGGAGAGAAGGUCACCAUCAGCUGCAAAUCCAGUCAGAGUCUUUAUUUAAGAAUCACCAAGAAGAACUACUUGGCCUGGUACCAGCAGAAACCAGGGAAGUCUCCUAAAUUGCUGAUCUACUUUGCAUCCACUCGGGACACUGGGGUCCCUGAUCGCUUCACAGGCAGUGGGUCUGGGACAGAUUUCACUCUCACCAUCAGCAGUGUCCAGCCUGAAGAUCUGGCAGAUUACUACUGUCAGCAGCAUGGUAGUACUCCUCCCACAGUGCUUCAGGCUCCAACAAAAACCUCCUCUGAGAGUCUCACCAGCUGCCUGCACUACACACACAGCCCUGGACCUGUGCACUUCCCCCUUCUGCCUGAGAGCCAAUGUGUCUGAAAUAAUGAUGAAAAAUUUUGCAGAGCCCAGAAAUAAUAAUGAGUUCAAUGUCUCUUACAUAUUUUGGUAUGAAAAACUUUGUAAGUAAAUGCAGGAAAGAACUGUAUAUUAUAUGACAUAUUUUCGGUAACCAACAAAUUCUUUUGCUUGAAUACAAGUGAUUUACCUUUUUAUAGUUCUGGAGUUCUGGUAUCCAACAUAAGAUUAUUUGGUCUGAAGUGAUGAUGAUGA
Peromyscus californicus insignis is the source of this 728-nucleotide non-coding RNA. The record is from the annotation of a RefSeq genome assembly. NCBI's taxonomy places the organism in Eukaryota, Metazoa, Chordata, Mammalia, Rodentia, Cricetidae.